AUUGAACGCUGGCGGCAGGCCUAACACAUGCAAGUCGAGCGGAUGAAGGGAGCUUGCUCCUGGAUUCAGCGGCGGACGGGUGAGUAAUGCCUAGGAAUCUGCCUGGCAGUGGGGGAUAACGUCCGGAAACGGGCGCUAAUACCGCAUACGUCCUGAGGUAGAAAGUGGGGGAUCUUCGGACCUCACGCUAUCAGAUGAGCCUAGGUCGGAUUAGCUAGUUGGUGGGGUAAAGGCCUACCAAGGCGACGAUCCGUAACUGGUCUGAGAGGAUGAUCAGUCACACUGGAACUGAGACACGGUCCAGACUCCUACGGGAGGCAGCAGUGGGGAAUAUUGGACAAUGGGCGAAAGCCUGAUCCAGCCAUGCCGCGUGUGUGAAGAAGGUCUUCGGAUUGUAAAGCACUUUAAGUUGGGAGGAAGGGCAGUAAGUUAAUACCUUGCUGUUUUGACGUUACCAACAGAAUAAGCACCGGCUAACUUCGUG
This 484-nucleotide ribosomal RNA is filed under the name uncultured bacterium. RNAcentral describes it as "partial 16S ribosomal RNA". It matches the Rfam family "Bacterial small subunit ribosomal RNA", at positions 30 to 507 of the family's 1533-position model. The record is from RNAcentral.